AAGACCUUUAAUUAAGUCCAGAGAGGCUUAGAAGGACCGGACCCGCUGCGGUGGGCAACUGUGUGACUGAGGACCAAACUAAAGUCGCCUUCUAUUCUCGAACUGGAUAGAAGGCGACUUUUUUU
This is a regulatory RNA element of 125 nucleotides. It matches the Rfam family "PyrR binding site". Rfam says of the family: This family represents the PyrR binding site and terminator structure. This RNA structure is found upstream of a variety of genes involved in pyrimidine biosynthesis and transport. The alignment also includes a portion of the antiterminator structure. The record is from Rfam.